GACCCUUUUCACAAGAUGGCGCCGAAAGCGAAGAAGGAAGCUCCUGCCCCUCCUAAAGCUGAAGCCAAAGCGAAGGCUUUAAAGGCCAAGAAGGCAGUGUUGAAAGGUGUCCACAGCCACAAAAAGAAGAAGAUCCGCACGUCACCCACCUUCCGGCGGCCGAAGACACUGCGACUCCGGAGACAGCCCAAAUAUCCUCGGAAGAGCGCUCCCAGGAGAAACAAGUCAGUACUGCCCCCUGUACCCAUGAAAAGAUUUGGGUAUUCUCCAUUGGUAAUUUGGAAAUUCACUCACUCUGCGUGAUGGUUUCUCAAACACAAAUUGUGUCCAGUGUGCUUCUCUAAUUGGAAGUAUGAGGAGAUUGUUUCUGCUGCAUUUACAAAACUGGCAGGAUCAGCCCAGAGGCCGGGCGCGGUGGCUCACGUCUGUAAUCCCAGCACUUUGGGAGGCCGGGGGGGGGCGGAUCACUUGAGGUCAGGGGUUUGAGACCAGCCUGAGUGACAUGGAGAAACCCCGCGUCUAUUAAAAAUAGAAAAUUCGCCGGGCAUGGUGGCGCAUGUCUGUAAUCCCAGCUACUCGCGGGAGGCUGAGGCAG
Molecule: small RNA, 595 nt
Filed under: Pan troglodytes (chimpanzee)
Lineage: Eukaryota; Metazoa; Chordata; Mammalia; Primates; Hominidae
Description: retained intron
Source: RNAcentral